This 1445-nucleotide ribosomal RNA is filed under the name uncultured bacterium. RNAcentral's name for it is "bacterial SSU rRNA". It matches the Rfam family "Bacterial small subunit ribosomal RNA". The record is from RNAcentral.
GAUGAACGCUGGCGGCGUGCCUAACACAUGCAAGUCGAACGUGAGGGUGCUAUCUAAGAUGGCACCUGAAAGUGGCGAACGGGUGAGUAACACGUGGGUAACCUGCCCUGAAGCGGGGGAUAACCGUGGGAAACUGCGGCUAAUACCGCAUGGGUUCGUGGGUGUGGGAACAGCCACGAGCAAAACUAAGGUGCUUUGGGAGGGGCCUGCGGUCGAUUAGCUAGUUGGUGAGGUAAAGGCUCACCAAGGCGAUGAUCGAUAGCUGUUCUGAGAGGAAGACCAGCCACACGGGGACUGAGAGACGGCCCCGACUCCUACGGGGGGCAGCAGUGAGGAAUCUUGCCCAAUGGGGGAAACCCUGAGGCAGCAACGCCGCGUGGAGGAUGACGGCCUUCGGGUUGUAAACUUCUUUUCUGGGGGAAGAAGGGGGAGGCGACUUCCCUUGACGGUACCCCAGGAAUCAGACACGGCUAACUACGUGCCAGCAGCCGCGGUAAUACGUAGGUGUCGAGCGUUAUCCGGAAUUACUGGGCGUAAAGGGCACGCAGGCGGCUGCUUAAGUCCGACGUGAAAGCGCCCGGCUUAACCGGGCGAGGUCGUGGGAAACUGGGCAGCUUGAGACAGAGAGAGGAAGGCGGAAUUCCCGGUGUAGUGGUGGAAUGCGUAGAGAUCGGGAAGAACACCCGUGGCGCAAGCGGCCUUCUGGCUCUGGGCUGACGCUGAGGUGCGAAAGCGUGGGGAGCGAACGGGAUUAGAUACCCCGGUAGUCCACGCUGUAAACGCUGUGAACUAGGUGUGGGGGGAGACCACCCUCUGUGCCGUAGCCAACGCGCUAAGUUCACCGCCUGGGGAGUACGGUCGCAAGGCUAAAACUCAAAGGAAUUGACGGGGGCCCGCACAAGCAGCGGAGCGUGUGGUUUAAUUCGAUGCAACGCGCAGAACCUUACCUGGGCUUGACAUGACCGUAGUAGUGAACCGAAAGGGGAACGAGCCUUCGGGCCGCGGUCACAGGUGCUGCAUGGCUGUCGUCAGCUCGUGUCGUGAGAUGUUGGGUUAAGUCCCGCAACGAGCGCAACCCGCGUGGCUAGUUACAUGUGUCUAGCCAGACUGCCGGCGAUUAGUCGGAGGAAGGUGCGGAUGACGUCAAGUCAGCAUGGCCUUGAUGUCCAGGGCGACACACACGCUACAAUGGCCGGUACAACGGGCAGCGAACCUGCGAAGGGGAGCGAAUCUCACCAAAGCCGGUCGUAGUUCGGAUUGCAGGCUGCAACUCGCCUGCAUGAAGCUGGAGUUGCUAGUAACCGCCGGUCAGCCAUACGGCGGUGAAUACGUUCCCGGGCCUUGUACACACCGCCCGUCACGUCAUGGGAGUCGGCAACACCUGAAGUCGGUGACCCAACUGGCAACAGAGGGAGCUGCCUAGGGUGGGGCGGAUGACUGGGACG